RNAcentral lists this ribosomal RNA (533 nucleotides) under Pseudoalteromonas sp. 18III/A01/054. RNAcentral's name for it is "bacterial SSU rRNA". It matches the Rfam family "Bacterial small subunit ribosomal RNA", at positions 359 to 886 of the family's 1533-position model. Lineage: Bacteria; Pseudomonadati; Pseudomonadota; Gammaproteobacteria; Alteromonadales; Pseudoalteromonadaceae. The record is from RNAcentral.
GAAUAUUGCACAAUGGGCGCAAGCCUGAUGCAGCCAUGCCGCGUGUGUGAAGAAGGCCUUCGGGUUGUAAAGCACUUUCAGUCAGGAGGAAAGGUUAGUAGUUAAUACCUGCUAGCUGUGACGUUACUGACAGAAGAAGCACCGGCUAACUCCGUGCCAGCAGCCGCGGUAAUACGGAGGGUGCGAGCGUUAAUCGGAAUUACUGGGCGUAAAGCGUACGCAGGCGGUUUGUUAAGCGAGAUGUGAAAGCCCCGGGCUCAACCUGGGAACUGCAUUUCGAACUGGCAAACUAGAGUGUGAUAGAGGGUGGUAGAAUUUCAGGUGUAGCGGUGAAAUGCGUAGAGAUCUGAAGGAAUACCGAUGGCGAAGGCAGCCACCUGGGUCAACACUGACGCUCAUGUACGAAAGCGUGGGGAGCAAACAGGAUUAGAUACCCUGGUAGUCCACGCCGUAAACGAUGUCUACUAGAAGCUCGGAGCCUCGGCUCUGUUUUUCAAAGCUAACGCAUUAAGUAGACCGCCUGGGAGUACGGC